RNAcentral lists this ribosomal RNA (405 nucleotides) under uncultured bacterium. RNAcentral describes it as "bacterial SSU rRNA". It matches the Rfam family "Bacterial small subunit ribosomal RNA", at positions 370 to 772 of the family's 1533-position model. The record is from RNAcentral.
AAUGGUGGAAACACUGAACCAGCUAUCCCGCGUGCAGGAUGAAGGCCCUCUGGGUUGUAAACUGCUUUUACCAGGGAAGAAACGUGUGGAUUUAUCUGCACCUGACGGUACCUGGGGAAUAAGCACCGGCUAACUCCGUGCCAGCAGCCGCGGUAAUACGGAGGGUGCAAGCGUUAUCCGGAAUCACUGGGUUUAAAGGGUGCGUAGGCGGCUUGAUAAGUCAGAGGUGAAAGCUCACGGCUCAACCGUGGAAUUGCCUUUGAUACUGUCAGGCUUGAAUUAGGUUGAGGCAAGCGGAAUGUGACAUGUAGCGGUGAAAUGCUUAGAUAUGUCAUAGAACACCGAUUGCGAAGGCAGCUUGCCAAGCCUUGAUUGACGCUGAGGCACGAAAGCGUGGGGAGCGAA